This 810-nucleotide unclassified non-coding RNA is filed under the name Homo sapiens (human). RNAcentral describes it as "allograft inflammatory factor 1 (ENSG00000206428.9)". Lineage: Eukaryota; Metazoa; Chordata; Mammalia; Primates; Hominidae. The record is from RNAcentral.
GGGGAAGUUUGGGAGGAAGGCUUCUGAGAAGACUGGUGGGAGAGAAGGAGAGCCUGCAGACAGAGGCCUCCAGCUUGGAGGAAAAGCUUUCGGACUGCUGAAGGCCCAGCAGGAAGAGAGGCUGGAUGAGAUCAACAAGCAAUUCCUAGACGAUCCCAAAUAUAGCAGUGAUGAGGAUCUGCCCUCCAAACUGGAAGGCUUCAAAGGUGAGGGGGAAACUGUAGGCGGUGGAGACAGGGCUGGGGGUAGGAGGGUUAGGAUUUCCACAAGAACAAGGCAGGAACAGCAGAGAUAAAAAGUUUACUUUUGUGGUAGCAAAAGGGGAACCUGCCUUUAUUGCCCUCCUGCCACACUGCGGUCCCUUUCCCGGGCCUGCCUCUCUCAGCAUCCCCUCUAGCUCCUUACACCCUAGCGGGGCCCCUCAACUCCCCAACCCCACUUCCUCUGCCUGCCCCUCCUCCUCCUUCCACGUUGUCUCCUCCACCUAGCAGUUGGUUGGCAACCCCUUCCUCAGUCCCCUGCUGAAAACCCUCCAGUCAGCGCUUAUCCCUUCUGCUCUCUCCCCUCACCCAGAGAAAUACAUGGAGUUUGACCUUAAUGGAAAUGGCGAUAUUGGUGAGAAACGGGUGAUUUGCGGGGGCAGGGUGGUGUGCAGGCCUAAGAAGACAGAGGUCUCUCCUACAUGCUCCAUUCCUCAUGAUUUGGGAGGGGGCCCACCUACCACAGUGGGAGGAAGGAGAAUGGGGAUGCGGAAGUGGGAGAGGAGAGAGAGGGUCUCCCCACCUUCUCCCCAUCCCCAUCCUCUGCCCC